RNAcentral lists this ribosomal RNA (466 nucleotides) under uncultured bacterium. RNAcentral describes it as "partial 16S ribosomal RNA". It matches the Rfam family "Bacterial small subunit ribosomal RNA", at positions 28 to 507 of the family's 1533-position model. The record is from RNAcentral.
GACGAACGCUGGCGGCGCGCCUAACACAUGCAAGUCGAACGAGCGAGAGAGAGCUUGCUUUCUUGAGCGAGUGGCGAACGGGUGAGUAACGCGUGAGGAACCUGCCUCAAAGAGGGGGGCAACAGUUGGAAACGACUGCUAAUACCGCAUAAGCCCACGACCCGGCAUCGGGUUGAGGGAAAAGGAGCAAUCCGCUUUGAGAUGGCCUCGCGUCCGAUUAGCUAGUUGGUGAGGUAACGGCCCACCAAGGCGACGAUCGGUAGCCGGACUGAGAGGUUGAACGGCCACAUUGGGACUGAGACACGGCCCAGACUCCUACGGGAGGCAGCAGUGGGGAAUAUUGCACAAUGGGGGAAACCCUGAUGCAGCGACGCCGCGUGGAGGAAGAAGGUCUUCGGAUUGUAAACUCCUGUUGUUGAGGAAGAUAAUGACGGUACUCAACAAGGAAGUGACGGCUAACUACGUG